ACUGGCCCUCGAGGUUGCUCCUAAAACCCUGCCUUGUGCAAGCAGUGCCUGGUGUGUUGGGGGGCACAGCAGGAGCAGGGCUGGUCCCCAGGUUCCUGCAGGAGGGCAGCGUGGGGGCUCCUCAUGGGCAGCUUUCCAGCUUGCAGCUUUUCUGCUCCCAUUGAAACGAGGAUUUGGCAGGUGCCUGACACUGCAGUUGCUUUACUGCUCCUGUUCUGGGAGAGAACACCACCAACCGAGCCCAUCCGCAGGUGCUUUGAUACCUGAAUCAACAUGCAGAGGGGGCUUCGUCAGAUGUUCCUCAUGUAUUCCUGCACGACAUGUAUGUCAUAUCGCUGGUGCUUGUGCGUGUUUCCUGGCUAUAUCGUUAUUUUUGACACACCCUGCUGACUGGGAAAUGCAGUGAGAAAAUACCUGACUCUGUUCUUCCCAGCAGGUAACAAAUCAGCGAAUUAUAAAAAACCAGUGUGUGGUCCAGCCUGAGUACGUUUCUUUCCUACUACUGCUAUUGUUUAUGUUCCUACAGGGAUUGUCUCUGACGCACGACUGGGAAUGCUUAAGGGAUGACCAGCAGCUGCUGAAGUGGAUCUGGGUCGUCCCCACGUGGGGACAGCCCUCAGGUGCCGCUCUCCAUGCUGGCAGCGCUGUGUUUAACCCAGGCGGCUGAUACCAGGACCCAGACCCCACUGUCUGCCCCUCGCAAGGUGCUCAGCAUCUCCCCAGCCCUCACCCCCUGGGGACCGUCGCAUCCUGCACCCGCUGCUGCAGGUGAGCUGCAGCCCAGGCAGCGCUCCCGGAGCAGCAGCCGGUGAGGGGCAGCGGGGCUGAGCGCCGCAGGCCGGGGCUGGUGCUGGCUGUGCACGUGAAACCCAGCAGCUGACUUCGUGGGAGCAGCAACCGGAGCAGGAAGAGCGGCAGUAGGUUCAACACAGACUCAUAACUUGUGCUUUCUGCCGGCAAAUGCUCUGGACUGCAGCUGGGAACGGUGCCAGGGGGACUCAGGAAGGAAUCUUUCAGAGCUGAAUGUCUUUUUCAGAGCAGACUCUAACUCUGGGCUCAUAAUCCUGAAUUCAAGCAGACUGUUGCCUUUGCUAUUCUUUCAGGCUCUUUGUUUUGAUCAAAGAGGCAAUGCUGUAUAAUUUAAGAAAGACUUCGCUUGCGAGGCCGGUUUGAUGCAUGUGGAGCAGCAAUGUGGAAAAAUACAGCCCUUGCCCAUGGAAGCCAGCUUGGAUAAUUUGAGUCACUUGAGGAGAUGUUAUUUGCCGUGACUCAAUUCGAUUUGUGCGGCUGGGUGACAACGUACCGACGCGCGGUAAUGAAGUGCAGCCCCCCUGCUCCGCACCCUGAUGCCAGAGCGGCUUCCACGGCACGGCCCCAAUGCCUGGGGAGGGCUGGGGGGCAUGGAAACCUCUGCCUCUGGGGCAGGAGCAAGCAGCAGAAGGCUGAAAGCAGCCGGCACGUGGUGGUGCCCGGCAGAGCUGCUCUGGUUGCACCAGGCAGGUCCUCGCCAGGAGACGUGGUGGCCUCUGCCCGUGAUGCUGGGGAGCAGCUGCAGUGUGACGGGGGGGGAGCUGCAGCCUGCCUCGCGCUGCAGACACUCUAGAAAAGCCCCGGCUAGAGGGAUGGGAACGCUUCUGAAUGUAGAUGCUGUAGAAGACAUUUUGCGCUGGGAAAAACUGAAAGGAUGCGCCUCUGGGGGGAACAGGCUAAUCCUCCCAUGUGUCACUGUCAGGAAAACAUUAGGCUGUAGCUGUAAGGGCUCCUGUUUUGUUGCACCCUUCCCUCCCUACCUUUCCUAAUGAAUUCCAAGAAAGCUUCAAUGCAUUCUUAAAUGGGAAACGCCGCGCUAUGUCCUUCACAGCCAUCUACACAAUAAAGACAGCCAUUUCACCGCUGGCAGGCAUGGGCUCCUCUGUGGGCUGGAAACAAAAGCUGAAAAGAAGCCUUUAUAUUUUUUUUGAUUAGAUAGCUUGAAAAGUUUGCUUUUAAUUGAAAUUGCCUUACUGAUUUUAUCUAAAAGUCAGCUAUAAACCCCCUUCUGGGAGAGCAGCUCCAGCUCCUCACCGACGAGAUGGCUGCACGGAUCCUGCGCUGCCUCCCGUGGGGGGUGCGGCUCCGAGGGCCCAGGAGCAGCAGUAAUCCUCGUCCUUCAGGAUGUGGCACUCAGUUUGGAGACCCGAAGCAGGUUUCUCUCUCCACGCAGUGAGCAGUGCUAUUGCCCACCACGCUGGUGAAUGGCAGGGAGCCAGGGCUCUGCCUGCAGCAUCCCGCCGAGCCCCUGUCCCCCCGCAUCCAUCCUUGUACAACUGUGCCAAGGAGUGUCAGAUUCGGUUCCGGGCCGCAGACACCCGUGCAGCACGCCAACAGGCCCCAUGGGACCCGCAGCACCCACGGGCACCUCGUGCCCGCUGAUGCGGUGGCUGCGGUGCUGCUCCUUGCGUCUCCUCUGCCCGCUCCGGGCAUGUGUGCAAAGAAACUACUUUGAAUUCCUUUUUGAAGGAACGAAUGAGGGAGAAAAAUUAUCAGGGGAAAUUUAUUUUGGGGCAAUUCUGAAUACAGCACAAAGACAAAUUGAAAUAUUUCCCUGUAACAGCGCAGGCUGGGGAUGGAGUCUCGGAUAAAAAUAAAGUGGGAUGCAACAGCACCUUUCCAAUGGCAUUAGCCCCAUUCAUCUCCCGGAUGAUGCCGCAGCCGUUUCGCUGGCAGUGUACAAAGGCAUUAGGAGUUACAUUUUCCUUCGCUAUUUCUCAACUAUAUUUAUGCUGUGAGAUGUUUGUGGAGGUACAUUGUGUGCCUCGGGCAGAGGAUUAAUUCCAAACUGUCACCUUGCUUUUUGAUGGGUUUGUAAAUUCUGCUCUGUUGAUUUGUGCUCUCAGUAAAUUGAUAAAAUCCUCUUCCUACAACCUGAUACACCAUUUAGAGCUCGCCGGGGCUUUAGACCCCAUUGGCUAACGUGUUUAUGUAAAUAUAGUGUCCAACAGCAAUUUUAUAAGUGCUGCGUGGAUAAUCUGGAUGGGUGAUAAGGGGCAAAAGGAAUGAAGCUUUUGGUCAGGGUUUGGUGCGCUUUGGCAAGCCGGGCUCCCACCCAGCACCACCCUGUACCCCUGGGUGCCAGCAGCAGCCGGGCUGCCCGGGGGUGCAGCAGCAGCGUGGUGCAAGCCGAGGGGCUCCCACGGCCACCCAGGACAGGUGUCUGCUCCCAGCAGCAACGCAGACCCCGCCUCACCUGCAGCUUUUGGCUACGGGCAGGGAAAAGCUCUGGGAAGGACAUGCUGGGGGCUGGGGUUUGGGGUGGCUUUGCAGACAGGUGGCUGCUUCAGGGAUCUGACCCUCUGCACCAGAGCUGACCGGCCCUGGUGGUGCUGGGAACCAUCCGGUGGUGCUGGGGCAUGACCUGGUGGUGCUGGGAACCGUCUGACAUCUCAGGAUGCUCUUGGGGUUGAGAGCAGAGCUCUGUAUCCCACCCCAGGGGACCCACAGAGCAGGAGCACGUCUCAGCAGAGGGGCAGGCAAGCUAAUGCCCUGAGACAAGGGAUCAGAUCUGUAACCGUUGCUAGCAUCAUUUACCUUAUUUUAAUUCCUUCCCUUGUUUCUACCCUGUGUAAAGGGGGAAAAACUGGAGGUGUGUCCACGUGGCGAUCUGACAUGCUGCACUCGCAGAGCUCCUUGUUGCAGUCAGGAUGAUGCUGACGUGCUGGGAACUCUGGGAGGCCUUUAGGGAUGGCACAACAGCGGUCCUUCCAUUUAGGGACUCGGUAUCUUGGCAAAUGGAAGUUUAUGGCUGUCAGGAAUAGUCCGGUUUUUACUGAAAUUGACUUUAAAUCAUCAUCAGAAAAUGCAAGCCCAAUGCCUGUGCAUUGUCAUGGAGCCCCAUUGUCAGGGGAAGAGCUGUAGGGCUUCAGGAGUGCGGUGGAAAGGAUAUCAGAAAUGAUUUUCUCCUGUAUUGUCCCCCAGCCGCCGAUCUACUAGAGAUGAAGGAUCUCAUCCACCAAAUGUUGACAUGCUCCAUUAAUCCACCCUAAAAAGUCAGAUGGAGAUUCUCCCUUGAAUUUUAAAUAUUUUCCGCCAUUCCGACUAGCUCUGAAAUCACCCCGAAUCGCCCUAUUUCCUGAAUGUUCUUUCACUGCCCCCGCGUUAUUCCCAUUCCAUUAUGCCUGGAUGCUCAGACUAAUUUACUGCCUUUAUCAGCUCACUGCAUUGCUCGCAGAACUACACCAGCUCCAACAGCGACUGCUGCGAGACCUUUGGGGAGCCCCCCGUGCCGCCCCCUCUCCUUCCUCGCCCUGGGGGUCCUGCAGCAGACUCGCCCCGAUGUGCCCAGCCCCGCGGCAGCCCCCCAGUCACGGCGGCACCGAGCACUUCCCAGCACCCCGACCGUCCCCUCCCGGCCCCGGGCCCUGCUCCUGGCCCAGGACGUGCGCACGUGCAAGACGGGCAGACGUGGCAGCCCUUUUGCU
This is a long non-coding RNA of Cygnus olor (mute swan), 4457 nucleotides long. RefSeq lists it as uncharacterized. Lineage: Eukaryota; Metazoa; Chordata; Aves; Anseriformes; Anatidae. The transcript has 2 exons. The record is from RefSeq and is a predicted model, not a curated record.